Molecule: long non-coding RNA, 209 nt
Organism: Rhododendron vialii
Lineage: Eukaryota; Viridiplantae; Streptophyta; Magnoliopsida; Ericales; Ericaceae
Exons: 2
Source: RefSeq, a predicted model, not a curated record
CAACAUCAUAUGUGAUUGUAGGUCAAUGCUUAAGAGACUUGGAAGUGAAGUGAUUCACAUCUUUCGAGAAAGCAAUUAUUGUGUCAAUUACUAGCUAGCUUUCAUUUUCAGCAUUCUAGUUUAGUUCAAGCUUUAUUUGAUGAUACUCCGGGGAAGAAAUUCUCCAUAUCUGUGAUUUAACUUAAUUUAUCUAUGAUGUUCCCUUUCAG